Molecule: microRNA precursor, 66 nt
Filed under: Marmota monax (woodchuck)
Lineage: Eukaryota; Metazoa; Chordata; Mammalia; Rodentia; Sciuridae
Source: RNAcentral
UCUUAUGGAUGAGCAAAGAAAGUAGAUUCUUCAGAUGGAAUCUACCCCUGGCACACACACAGUAAA